GACGAACGCUGGCGGCGUGCCUAAUACAUGCAAGUCGAGCGAACAGACGAGGAGCUUGCUCCUCUGACGUUAGCGGAGGACGGGUGAGUAACACGUGGAUAACCUACCUAUAAGACUGGGAUAACUUCGGGAAACCGGCGCUAAUACCGGAUAAUAUAUUGAACCGUAUGGUUCAAUAGUGAAAGACGGCUUUGCUGUCACUUAUAGAUGGAUCCGCGCCGCAUUAGCUAGUUGGUAGGGUAACGGCUUAUCAAGGCAACGAUGCGUAGCCGAACUGAGAGGGUGGUCGGCCACACGGGAGCUGGGACACGGUCCAGACUCCUACGGGAGGCAGCAGUAGGGAAUCUGCCGCAAUGGGCGAAAGCUUGACGGAGCAACGCCGCGUGAGUGAUGAAGGUCUUCGGAUCGUAAAACUCUGUUAUUAGGGAAGAACAAAUGUGUAAGUAACUAUGCACGUCGUGACGGUACCUAAUCAGAAAGCCACGGCUAACUACGUG
Molecule: ribosomal RNA, 497 nt
Filed under: uncultured bacterium
Lineage: Bacteria
Description: partial 16S ribosomal RNA
Rfam family: Bacterial small subunit ribosomal RNA
Source: RNAcentral